Gossypium arboreum is the source of this 106-nucleotide non-coding RNA. The record is from Rfam. NCBI's taxonomy places the organism in Eukaryota, Viridiplantae, Streptophyta, Magnoliopsida, Malvales, Malvaceae.
AAUCCAUGGUGUGGCCAUUUUUGAAUUAGCAUCUUAAUAUGCCCCCAUGUUUCGUGAAAGCUUUCUCCUUCUAACUGUGUGAAUAAUGAAAUUCCCCUUCUUAUCU